AGAGGCUGCUGGGAGCAAGACCUUUACCCUCUGACCCCCACCGUGACCCCCGUCGUUCCGGCUUCCCUCAAGGCGGCGGCGGAAGCCCCCGCAACCUCCGGUGCUCGUGCGCGCGUUUCCAGAGACCGGCAGCACGUCACCAUCACCUCCUGAGAACCUUUUCCACUAAGAAUAUAUAAAGAAGAAACUGUCAAAGAAAAGAGGAGAAGGAGCUGUCACAGAUUACAAGAAUUUCAAGAAGGUCAAAUUCUUUCUCCAGACACUUGAAUCUGAGCUGGCCUUGUGACUUGCUUUACCAAUAGAAUGCAGCAGAAGUAACCUUGUGGGACUUGCAAGUGCAGCCUCCAAGAGACGUUUGAAGCUUCUGCUCUUGUCCCCUUGGAACACUGCCAUCACCAUGUGAAAAAGUCCCAGCCAGUAUCCUUGAAGUUGAGAGACCAUGUGGAGAUAGAGGCUCAACCGAAGCCAUCACUAACUGCCAGACUUUCGAGUAAGGCCAUCUUGGACCAUGCAUCUCAUAAUGGUCUCCAGUUGAUAACAUCUGCAAUGAGUGACCAUCAGCAAAAUGAACGAGAUCAGCAGAAGAAUCACCCAACUGAACCCAGCUCAAAUUUCUUACUCACAGAAUUAUCAGCAAAUAAAAUGGUAGCCAUUUUAAGCCACUAAGUUUGUUAUGCAGCAAUAGAUCAUUCAGACACUAGCUAGACUCCAAAGAUCUUUCUUUUAGGCUUUGUCAUCUUGCAUUGACCUUGAAGGUGCUUCUUUAAGAGGUCUCUUGAAAGGUGCCAGAAGGCAUUAUGCUAUGCUUUCACCCAUUUUUCAAAUUACUUCAUUUUAAGAAUAUAUAUAUAU
Molecule: long non-coding RNA, 852 nt
Organism: Hipposideros armiger (great roundleaf bat)
Lineage: Eukaryota; Metazoa; Chordata; Mammalia; Chiroptera; Hipposideridae
Exons: 4
Source: RefSeq, a predicted model, not a curated record